Molecule: long non-coding RNA, 5025 nt
Organism: Pangasianodon hypophthalmus (striped catfish)
Lineage: Eukaryota; Metazoa; Chordata; Actinopteri; Siluriformes; Pangasiidae
Exons: 3
Source: RefSeq, a predicted model, not a curated record
AAAUGUAUAUUCAUAAAAUUACCUCUUAGCUAAUCUGUUUUAUACCACAGCAAUGUUGAAUUCUUUCACAAAUUACAGAUUUAACACUAUUGCAGCUGCAAAUCACAGGUCAUAUUAAUAAACUUGUUCUAGUACAGUAUGUUAUUGUUUCAAUAGGUACAACUUACAGGUUUUGUCAUAAAUCCUGUGAUGCAAUUAAACAUAUUCUCAGUGACCUCAGAUGAGCUCAAUGACCUCAAAACCUGGAGUCAUUGUGUGUUUCAGGUGUUUAAUCAUUAGACACCCUCACCCAGGUGACUCAGCCAUAGUUUAUCAGUCCCUGGCCUGUGUUGAAGUAGCAUUUCUGGACCAUGAACUGCCCCUCCUUAUCCAGAUCCAUCUUGAUGCCUUUUAUGCAGGCUACAGGAUGUUUCUGAUGGAUCUGCAUGGUAUGUGGGAACCUGAGCUGCCUCCUUAGGUUGACCUUUGUCUAUAGUGGCAGCUUCUUCCCUGUUUUCACAAACAUGCUGGCCUGCUAUGCAGGAUUGCUCUGCUUGUACAUGUUGCUGCAUUCCCACUAUCCUGCUAGACCACCUCUUCCUUCCUCUGCACCUUCCUUGCUAUGGUCACCAUGAACUUUUCUGUCAGGCUACUGAAAGUAAGAUGUAGCUUGUUCCUGAGGCCAUAUAGGGCAAUGUUGCUAAGACUUCAUUGCAGCCCAAACUAGAGGAAGUAUCUGAUUUCUUUCAAGGCCCUUACUGCGGUCAGUGGGACAUCAGAGACCAGCAGUGGCCAGAGUAUUUGCAGUAGGAUUCCAUGUUGAUAAAUGCUUUGAAUUUCCCUCGCAGCUCAGAUAUCCACCACAGCUAGCCAUUCUCCAGUUCACUGUUUUCUUCCUGUGUCCCCAGGGAGCUCUUAACCGGCCUUUCUUUUGUUGAUGGAAUCUGGAAACCUCCAAGGUGGAAGUGGUAUUUGUCAGUAACUGUACUCCUCAUGACAACCUGGGCCUGGAUUUUGCUGGUUUUAACUGCAUGCAAGCCUAUGUAAUGAGCCUCUUGAGGUCUGUCAGGAUCCACCUACACCUUGGUAAUGAUGUUGUUGUGACUGUUAGGUCAUCCAUGAAACUUUGACACUCCACUUCAGCUGACUUGACCAACAUGUUGCCACCUGCUUUCUGACUUGACCAACAUGUUGCCACUUGCUUUCUGGCUCUGAUUACCUGUUUUUCCUUGGGGCCGAGCCAUUCAGCAAUUUUGAUAAUGAUAUUUGUUAUAUUCUGGAGCUUCUGGUCCACCUCCCUCUUGGGUGUGUUCUCCAGGAUUCCAUCCACAUCCUAGUUGAAUUGGCACCACUGUUCUCCUUGUUAGCUGCUAGCCACAAGACCCUGCAAUGAUCGUUAUGGCUGCCUUCAGGUGGAGCUUGCAGUGCUUGGAGGUUCCAGGCUUUGUGGGUUGACUCCAAGUCUGGCUAUUCCUCCAUCCAGGGACUCCUGUGGAAAGCACUGCUUGCUUCAUCCUAAAGCAUCUCAUCUGGUUCUUGCAGAGUUUGCCAAAUACACACAAUAGUUGUCAACUAACACUUAACAUGUUCUUAUAUAGAGCAUAUACAGUAGUCUAUUGAAUAUCAAAACUCAAUAAAUGGUAAAAUGUUGAGACAAAACAUACAUCAAGCAAACACAUAGCUUUUUUUUAUUUUACUGUCUAUUUUUUGAACAUAGUCCUGAACAUGCCAUUUUGGCAAGUCUUUCCCUUGUAGCCCUUUGGCUUCCUAUUGAAUGUGUUGCUUUUAAUAUUGCUGCCUCCUCUGAGGUGAUUUUGCAUGGAGACACUGGAGUCUCACAUGCAGCUGUCAUUCUGAGUUGGAAAUCCACAAGGGCUGUCCUGGAAUUGGCUCUGUCACUUUUGUUGAAAUUUAGUGUGUGGGUUAAUUUCAGUUUGCCAGAUAUGGGCUACAGGUUACAUGUGAAAAGUCAUAGUCUGAAGCAAAGGAUGAAAACUCUGAUGAGCAACUCCCAUUCCUGGCACCCUAUUACUGGAGAAAAUAGCUUUUAUUGUUGUAAUCGCCCCGUAGGCUAUGGAAACAGGAACAUUUUCCACUUCAAUCCACCUUUAGUAGUAGUCAACUGCUGGAUGAUAGACCUUCUACAUUCAAGAAAGAAAACAUCUACCCAAACUUUUCGCAAGGACCACUUGCGUAGUGCUGAUGGUAUCAUUAGAGCGCUGCUCUGCUCUAGUGCUCUAGCCCUCAUUGCUGUGCUCUAGCCCUACAUUUGGAUAUUCCCAUGUGUCCUCAAUGCUUCUUUCUAGCAUUUCUGUUGUAAGUUAUCUGGCAUUUAGUUUUGUUUAUUUGGCAGUUCCUCCUGUCUUGGCCAGCCUGUUCUAUGUACUUCAAACAGUCCCUGCCUAUAACCAGUGUCUUGUUGUUGUUCUACCACAAUCUGCUGGCAACUUCUGAUAAACUGCCUUCAUAAACACCUGUGUUUCUGCCCCAAACUCUCUCUCUGUUCUUUGUUAUAGCAUCACACUAUUGGGGCUCUGUACAAUGUAUUGGCUGUUUAAUACUUUCUCAGGAACAUGCAGUAACUAAAUCUUAGAAGUCUGAGGUAGAAUCUUUGAAUUCUACGGGGCAGGUCAUCUACUGCUUUACUUUCUAUAGUGCCAAUAAUGGCUUCUAAUCAGUCUUAAUGAUUAAAUGAAGGCACAUAUUUGCAAGACACUCCUUCUCAAUUGUACAUAAUGUUGUUCAGUGUCAGACAGAGAACGUAAAAUGAAGCUUACCGUCCACCUGCAUGAAUACCACACCUAAUCCAAAAGUGGAUGUGUCUGCAGUCACAUUUGUCUUGGCUUUGGGUUUAUAUUGUAAUAACACUGGUCUGAUGCCAGGUCAUCCUUUAGCUUUCCAAAUACUGCCUGCUGUACACCUCCCCAUGACCACGCGCUUUCUUUGGCCAGUAGGUCUUUUACACCCCCAGUAUAGUUUCAUCCCCAGCUCAAAAUGUUGUGAUCUCCCUGGACGAAACUGUGAUCAAACUAUCUGGCAGUGCACAUAACUGUCAUCCUUGUCACCUCAUCACUUACCUGACUCAGUCAUGCAGGUUUCUCUUUUACAUCAGUAGGAUCCAACCUUUCCUGUUCACAGGGGCCACUCAGGGGCUUGUUCAGUCCAUUGCCAUCUCAAGAAUGGACUAUGACAGCGCAAUCUUGGCAGGUCUGACACUGGCAACUGAUCCAAAAUGUAAGACUUGUUUUCAACCUCCCCAAAUUAUCCCCCACCACUCCAUUGCUGUGUUCCCUUCACUGGUUCUGCGUGGAUCUUAUUUAAAACACUCAUGCUUGCCUACAAAGCAAAAAACGGACCAGUGCUUCACACCCCCUCUGCACCACACUCCCUUCGAGCCUCUAGCACAGCUUUAUUGGAUCCAUCAGCCCUCAGCAUACAAGAAAGACAUGCGUCAAGACUCUUCUCUGUCCUGUACCCACCUGUACCCACCUGUCUGAGCAGCUGAGUGACUGGCAGUCUUUAAACAAAGACUAAAGUACUUGAAUUAACAGUUCUUUUAAUAAAUAAAAGUCCUUUGUCUUUUGUGUUUUUAUGCUGUACUAUCCUCCUCCAACAGUAUUAUAAGAAAUAAAUAAACAGUAAUUAAUUGUCCAAGUGCUAGCUUAGCUUUUGACUGUAGUGGUAAAUACUGUGUAUGGCCAUUAGGUUCAACUGCAUGGCAAACGGAAAAGCCUACACUUCAGAAUGAGGUAUUCCAGAUAUGGAGAACAGUGUCCAUCAAUAAUGUCCAUGUUUGGGCACCAAGUGUUAUUAACAUAGAUGGAUAUCCCCCUGGUUGAUUUCUUACUAGAGUUUGUUGUUCUGUUGAUAGAGUAGAGCAUGUAGCCUCCUAGCUCGACAGCAUAAUUGGGAUUGGGUACAAUACAAUUCAGCCAUGUUUCAGACAAAAUCAUGAUGCAGCCAUAAUGGAGAAGUUUUGGUUUGUCCAUUUUAUUAGCAAGAGACUGGGUGUUUGCCAGAAAAAUGCUAGGUAGGCAGCUUGUAUUCUGGCCCGCAUACACCACUUCUGUUCCACUCUAUGCACUGCCUGCAAAGCUUCCCCCCAUAGAUUAGGCAUGGAUUAGGACCAAUGCUGGUGUCAGUGGCCUGGUAUUGUCUGGCAGAAACCUUUCAAGAAGUUUGAAAACAAGCUGAUCACAAAUUGUUUCGAUCCAUAAGAGUUCCUGCUAACUGUAUAUUAGGUUCAUAUAUGUUUGUCGGAGUGAAACACUGAAAACAAGACAAAUAAUAAAACCUAAAGGGCUAUGUCUGUGCAAACCACCAGAUAAUCUCAGUUUAAUGAUAAACAUGUUUACAAUAACAUGUUAUUUAACAAUUGUCUGAUCAUUGAUAUGGUGAAGUUUUCUGUAAGAGAUGUUUAACAUUAAUGGGGGAGUCUUCAUUGUCAACACUUUAUAACAGUCAGGCGUAAAGCUGUAAUUUUACAUUUUCUGACAAAGUCUGUGAUAACCAUUGGAGUAAAGGAUCCAGAAGCAGAACUGACUUAAGAACUGAAGGUGAAUGGGUUUUAUUUAAGACUGAGGAGGGUAGGAAUAUGUGGGGAGAGGAGUGUGGCUAGUUGCGUCAUUUGAGGUCAGGGCUCAAACUUGGAUCAGCAACAUGGGAGUUGAGUGCUCUGCCUGUGAGCUGCGGGAGGCAGAAGUUGGGCCGGACGUGGCGAUAAACAGGCAAGCCGGCUGGGCAGGGAGUAGAUCGUACUGGAAGCCGGAACGAUCUGGUGAUGAGUGGUUGAAGAACCAGGGUGCUGCUGUCUGGUGAAGAGAUGAGAAGCAGGUGGAGAAAAGAAGAAGGGGAAAACACAAGGGAGCGGGGGAAGACUGUGGAAGAAAAAAAGAGACUGGUGAGGAAACAACUAUUUACACAGUGCUGAAAACACAAGCGAGGGUCUCCAAGAAGAGAACAAAACAGAUGCCAAACCUUAUUGUGAAAUCGCAGAAACCAUUUUCCACCAGAAGGAAAUUGGACAGUGACUAUGAGGCUGAAGUA